RNAcentral lists this ribosomal RNA (253 nucleotides) under uncultured bacterium. RNAcentral describes it as "partial 16S ribosomal RNA". It matches the Rfam family "Bacterial small subunit ribosomal RNA", at positions 524 to 776 of the family's 1533-position model. The record is from RNAcentral.
UACGGGGGGGGCAAGCGUUGUUCGGAAUUACUGGGCGUAAAGGGCGCGUAGGCGGCCUGCUAAGUCGGACGUGAAAUCCCUCGGCCCAACCGGGGAACUGCGUCCGAUACUGGUGGGCUCGAAUCCGGGAGAGGGAUGUGGAAUUCCAGGUGUAGCGGUGAAAUGCGUAGAUAUCGGAAGGAACAUCAGUGGCGAAAGCGACUUCCUGGACCAGUACCGACGUUCAGGCACGAAAGCGUGGGGAGCAAACAGG